GAACUGAAGAGUUUGAUCAUGGCUCAGAUUGAACGCUGGCGGCAGGCCUAACACAUGCAAGUCGAGCGGAUGAGAGGAGCUUGCUCCCUGAUUUAGCGGCGGACGGGUGAGUAAUGCCUAGGAAUCUGCCUGGUAGUGGGGGAUAACGUUCCGAAAGGAACGCUAAUACCGCAUACGUCCUACGGGAGAAAGCAGGGGACCUUCGGGCCUUGCGCUAUCAGAUGAGCCUAGGUCGGAUUAGCUAGUUGGUGAGGUAAUGGCUCACCAAGGCGACGAUCCGUAACUGGUCUGAGAGGAUGAUCAGUCACACUGGAACUGAGACACGGUCCAGACUCCUACGGGAGGCAGCAGUGGGGAAUAUUGGACAAUGGGC
Molecule: ribosomal RNA, 373 nt
Filed under: Pseudomonas sp. 1-7
Lineage: Bacteria; Pseudomonadati; Pseudomonadota; Gammaproteobacteria; Pseudomonadales; Pseudomonadaceae
Description: bacterial SSU rRNA
Rfam family: Bacterial small subunit ribosomal RNA
Source: RNAcentral